Molecule: ribosomal RNA, 1068 nt
Filed under: Pantoea sp.
Lineage: Bacteria; Pseudomonadati; Pseudomonadota; Gammaproteobacteria; Enterobacterales; Erwiniaceae
Description: bacterial SSU rRNA
Rfam family: Bacterial small subunit ribosomal RNA
Source: RNAcentral
GCGUCAGGUCUACACAUGCAGUCGGACGGUAGCACAGAGAGCUUGCUCUUGGGUGACGAGUGGCGGACGGGUGAGUAAUGUCUGGGGAUCUGCCCGAUAGAGGGGGAUAACCACUGGAAACGGUGGCUAAUACCGCAUAACGUCGCAAGACCAAAGAGGGGGACCUUCGGGCCUCUCACUAUCGGAUGAACCCAGAUGGGAUUAGCUAGUAGGCGGGGUAAUGGCCCACCUAGGCGACGAUCCCUAGCUGGUCUGAGAGGAUGACCAGCCACACUGGAACUGAGACACGGUCCAGACUCCUACGGGAGGCAGCAGUGGGGAAUAUUGCACAAUGGGCGCAAGCCUGAUGCAGCCAUGCCGCGUGUAUGAAGAAGGCCUUCGGGUUGUAAAGUACUUUCAGCGGGGAGGAAGGCGACGGGGUUAAUAACCCUGUCGAUUGACGUUACCCGCAGAAGAAGCACCGGCUAACUCCGUGCCAGCAGCCGCGGUAAUACGGAGGGUGCAAGCGUUAAUCGGAAUUACUGGGCGUAAAGCGCACGCAGGCGGUCUGUUAAGUCAGAUGUGAAAUCCCCGGGCUUAACCUGGGAACUGCAUUUGAAACUGGCAGGCUUGAGUCUUGUAGAGGGGGGUAGAAUUCCAGGUGUAGCGGUGAAAUGCGUAGAGAUCUGGAGGAAUACCGGUGGCCGAAGGCGGCCCCCUGGACAAAGACUGACGCUCAGGUGCGAAAGCGUGGGGAGCAAACAGGAUUAGAUACCCUGGUAGUCCACGCCGUAAACGAUGCCAACUUUGGAGGUUGUUCCCUUGAGGAGUGGCUUCCGGAGCUAACGCGUUAAGUCGACCGCCUGGGGGAGUACGGCCGCAAGGUAAAACUCAAAUGAAAUUGACGGGGGCCCGCACAAGCGGUGGGAGCAUGGGGGUUAAUUCGAUGCAACGCGAAGAACCUUACCUACUCUUGACUUCCCGGGAAUUCGCAGAAAAGGCUUUGGGGCUUCGGAACCCGGAAAAGGGGUUGCUGGGUGGCUCACCCCCGGGGGGGAAAAGGGGGGGUAAACCCCCACAAGGGGAACC